This 1487-nucleotide long non-coding RNA is filed under the name Solanum tuberosum (potato). RNAcentral describes it as "long non-coding RNA (STUB_LNC011098)". Lineage: Eukaryota; Viridiplantae; Streptophyta; Magnoliopsida; Solanales; Solanaceae. The record is from RNAcentral.
UAUGACAAAAUUCAUAAAGGUAGCACAAGUGAAGAUGAAACUGGAUCACCAUUAGGAAAUGCAGCUACCAAGUAUGUUAUACUUGAAGAAAUGGAAGAUCAAGACCAUGGUCCUUGAAGUUUUACAUAUGACAUUCCAACUACGCUGCGCUCUGAUGGCGUUUUGUAUUUGCAACGUAAGGAAUGGGACGAACAAAUGCGUAGAUUUUCUAGCAAAUGAAGGUCAAUCGUAUACAUGAGGAAGAUAUGUUAAUCAAGGAAGAUGAGUUUUUUCACCUAGUAAACUUUAAGACAUGUUGCUAAUAGAAGGGAAAUAUAUUACUUCCUAUGUGCUAAAAAAAUAAUGAUAUACAUUUUUAUACUUAGUAGAAAUUUAACUUUUGAACUUUUCGUUUUACACCUAAAGUUAGGGGGUGGAAGUUUAGUAUUCAGUUCGAGAUUUCCAAAUUUCGAGUUCGGUAGUUAAAAAUAGAUUCAAUUCAGUAUGGUAUUCAGUAAUACCGUAUUGAAGUUGUAGGAUUUGAAAAUGAAUGAUUACAAAUCUUUCUACUUUUUGUUUGUUAAAAUCAUGUCCUUUUCUGACCAAGUUAAAGAAAAAGAGAAAUUGGUCUCUUCUUUUGUUUAGAUGAUAAUGUUAGUGGACCUAGCUUGAAAUGUGAGACAAAAUUAUAUGAAUUGAAGUUUCAUUUCGAUAUGUAAUCCGACUGAUUUGAUAAUAUUUUCACUCUUUAUUUGAUUUCAAGUAUGCAUAAAAAACAAAUGUAACGUAUAUUUAUAUCCAUACAAAUAUCUACACAUAUUUUUAAUUUAAGAUUACAAAAUUUUAAAAGUUGUCUAUAACUUUCAUAAAUUAAUAUCCCAUGAAACUAAGAUACACAAACUAAAACUAGCGGAGUAACUUAGUACUAAUUCGAUUUACUUCAUACAUUGUUUUAGUACUAGACAUAUAAGCUCGUGCUCACACAAACUCAAUAACAUAGAUAGUAGUUCAAUCAAAUUGUUGAUAUCGAGCCAUUUUUAGUCCAAAAUGUGACUUUUGCAUGGUUUAAUGGCAUGUGUUGAAGUCGUAAUUUUUCCAUUUUCGUUACUCAGGUAUGACAAAAUUCAUAAAGGUAGCACAAGUGAAGAUGAAACUGGAUCACCAUUAGAAAAUGCAGCUACCAAGUAUGUUAUACUUGAAGAAAUGGAAGAUCAAGACCAUGGUCCUUGAAGUAUUACAUAUGACAUUCCAACUACGUUGCGCUCUGAUGGUGUUUUGUAUUUGCAACGUAAGGAAUGGGACGAACAAAUGCGUAGAUUUUCUAGCAAAUGAAGGUCAAGUCGUAUACAUGGAGAAGAUUUGUUAAUCAAGGAAGUUGAGUUUUUUCACCUAGUAAACUUUAAGACAUGUUGCUUAUAGAAGGGAAAUAUAUUACUCCCUAUGUGCUAAAAAAAUAAUGAUAUACAUUUUUAUACUUGUAGAAAUUUAACUUUUAAACUUCUCGUUUU